AUAGAGCCAUAACUUUGAAGACCAGUUGUAACAUUUUCAGAGUCAUCAUAACUUUGAAUAAUUGCCGAACAAGUGAUUGCUAAGUGAGAAAUACCUUAAAGUACAUUAGAAAAGCAAAAAAGAAUGUAUUCAUGAGAUCUUUCAGAUAUCCUACUGAGAGUUUUGUCUCUAUAGGGACAUUUGGAUGCAUUCUACACAUAUCCAAAGGCCAGACUGGAUUCUCUAUUUUAUGCUGCUAUAUUGUAACUUAUUGCAACAAUUCAUGUCUAAUAUGUCUGUAACAUAGAAUGCAUAUAAUUGCCAUGAUAAAUUCUUUUGUACAGUAA
Molecule: long non-coding RNA, 326 nt
Organism: Pantherophis guttatus
Lineage: Eukaryota; Metazoa; Chordata; Lepidosauria; Squamata; Colubridae
Source: RefSeq, a predicted model, not a curated record